Molecule: long non-coding RNA, 160 nt
Organism: Homo sapiens (human)
Lineage: Eukaryota; Metazoa; Chordata; Mammalia; Primates; Hominidae
Exons: 2
Source: RefSeq, a predicted model, not a curated record
CUCUUUACUCAUUUCUACCAUGCUGCCUCAGUAUUACGAAAAUGUCAAAACACUAAGGUGAUGUCCAGCAUCAAAACACAGUUGGUCAUAACUGAUAAAAGGUUAUGUCUUGAUUGAACAAGCUUCCAGGAGUUGGAAGGCCAAAAGGGCUGCUGUAAAA